GGAUGCGAUCAUAACAGCACUAAAGCACCGGAUCCCAUCAAAACUCCGUAGUUAAGCGUGCUUGGGCGAGAGUAGUACUAGGAUGGGUGACCUCCUGGGAAGUCCUCGUGUUGCAUUCC
RNAcentral lists this ribosomal RNA (119 nucleotides) under Triticum aestivum (bread wheat). The record is from RNAcentral. Lineage: Eukaryota; Viridiplantae; Streptophyta; Magnoliopsida; Poales; Poaceae.